GCGUGGCAUGGGCGUGGCCUGCGCGCCGUGGGGCUGCGGCGGCGCUGCCGGGCGUGUGCGCAAGGAGCGGGCGCGGAGCCGGCGGGCGGGCGGAGGAUAGCGCGGGCGCGGCACCUGCGGGCCCGAGGGUCUGGCUGUCGCAGCGCCGGGCCGCCCCGACUCCGAGCUGCUGCUGAGAUGAGUGCAGUGUCGCAGCCCCAGGCUGCUCCCAGCCCGCUGGAGAAGUCGCCCAGCACGGCGAUCCUGUGCAACACGUGUGGAAAUGUGUGCAAGGGCGAGGUGCUGCGGGUGCAGGACAAGUACUUCCACAUCAAGUGCUUCGUCUGUAAAGCAUGUGGCUGCGACCUGGCCGAGGGCGGCUUCUUCGUGCGGCAGGGCGAGUACAUCUGCACGCUGGACUACCAGAGGCUCUAUGGCACCCGCUGCUUCAGCUGCGACCAGUUCAUUGAGGGUGAGGUGGUGUCGGCGCUGGGCAAGACCUACCACCCCGACUGCUUCGUGUGUGCCGUCUGCCGGCUGCCCUUCCCCCCCGGGGACCGAGUGACCUUCAACGGGAAGGAAUGCAUGUGCCAGAAGUGUUCCCUGCCUGUAUCAGUGGGCAGCAGCGCACACCUGUCCCAGGGCCUCCGAAGUUGUGGGGGCUGCGGCACAGAAAUCAAGAACGGCCAGGCCCUGGUAGCCUUGGACAAGCACUGGCACUUGGGCUGUUUUAAGUGCAAGAGCUGUGGGAAGCUCCUGAACGCCGAGUACAUCAGCAAGGAUGGGCUGCCCUACUGCGAAGCCGACUAUCACGCCAAGUUCGGCAUCCGCUGUGACAGCUGUGAGAAAUACAUCACAGGGCGUGUGCUGGAGGCCGGAGAGAAGCACUACCACCCUUCCUGCGCGCUAUGUGUCAGGUGCGGCCAGAUGUUUGCAGAAGGCGAAGAGAUGUAUCUUCAAGGUUCCUCCAUCUGGCAUCCGGCGUGUCGACAAGCAGCCAGAACUGAAGACAGAAACAAGGAAACCAGAACUUCCUCAGAGAGCAUCAUUUCUGUCCCUGCUUCCAGCACCUCAGGGUCUCCGAGCCGUGUGAUUUAUGCCAAGCUUGGUGGUGAGAUCCUGGACUACAGGGACUUGGCAGCCCUUCCUAAAAGUAAGGCCAUCUAUGACAUCGACCGCCCCGACAUGAUCUCCUACUCACCCUACAUCAGCCACUCUGCAGGGGACAGGCAGAGCUACGGCGAGUCCCCUCAGUUGCUCUCGCCAACGCCGACCGAGGGGGAUCAGGAUGACCGGUCCUACAAGCAGUGCCGGACCUCCAGCCCAAGCUCCACUGGGUCGGUCAGCCUCGGGCGCUACACUCCGACCUCACGGUCACCACAGCACUACAGCCGUCCAGCUGGUACUGUGAGUGUGGGUACCAGUAGCUGCCUCUCCCUGUCCCAACACCCAAGCCCUACAUCCGUGUUCAGACAUCAUUACAUCCCCUACUUCCGAGGCAGUGAAAGUGGCCGGAGCACCCCCAGCCUCUCCGUGCUCUCUGACAGCAAGCCGCCCCCCUCCACCUACCAGCAGGCACCUCGCCACUUCCACGUCCCAGACACUGGCGUAAAAGAUAACAUCUAUAGGAAACCCCCUAUCUACAGACAGCAUGGUCCUGUAGCCCAAUCCCAAAUUUCCAAGCUCUCUGGCCUGGUAUCAGUCUUGUCCUUGGUGGUGCAGGAGGCAGGGUACGGCAAAAGACAGACGGGCCCGAGCCCGCCGCCCGCUGCAGCUGCCAGGCGAUCCGAUGGGGAGGACGGAAGCUUGGACCAGGAUAACAGGAAGCAGAAGAGCAGCUGGCUGAUGCUCAAGGGGGAUGCAGACACAAGGACCAAUUCUCCAGACCUGGACACCCAGUCCUUGUCCCACAGCAGCGGGACCGACAGAGACCCUCUCCAAAGGAUGGCAGGGGACAGCUUUCACUCACGAUUCCCCUAUUCCAAAUCUGACCCUCUCCCAGGACAUGGAAAGAAUGGCUUGGACCAGCGGAAUGCCAAUCUGGCCCCCUGUGGAGCAGACCCGGAUGCCAGCUGGGGCAUGCGAGAAUACAAGGUAAGCGGGGCCGCUCCCACCCUGACCUCCGUGCCGCGCCACACCUGCCCAGGUUAAAAGUCCUUUCUGUUGUGCUUUCCCUAUGAAAUGUGUGUGUCAGGUGCAGACGCAAGUAUGUAUUCUCGGUGACCUUCUGCUCAGUUCUUUGGUGCCAGCACACACUUGCUUCGUGAGGUGACCCUGUGGUUUCCUCCCCCAACAGAUCUAUCCGUAUGACUCCCUCAUCGUCACAAACCGAAUUCGCGUGAAACUGCCCAAAGACGUGGACCGGACGAGACUGGAGAGACACUUGUCGCCCGAGGAGUUCCAGGAAGUGUUUGGGAUGAGCGUGGAGGAGUUUGACCGCCUGGCCCUCUGGAAGAGGAAUGACCUUAAGAAGAAAGCCCUGUUGUUCUGACGGCUGCCAGCCUGCCCCACUGGUGUGUGCCGGGUGCCGAGGCGAGGGGCCCCUGGCGAGAACCGCACACACCCCUCCCACGCACCUUGCUCUGGCUUCUCUGUGUCGAUGGGGUGGGCGGGAGGGGGUCCCCCAGCAGGUGCGGCCCCUGCACCUGCCAGCGACACUCCUGCCGGUAGUUUAGGGCCGAGACGGCUAGCUUCACACCACCCUUCCCCGCUGUGGCUUGGUGUCAGGGAGAGGCUGCAGAGUGGCUGUCAGGCAUCAGAUGGAGCACACAGGUGGCUGCAGCCCAGCCCACCUUCCCAGCAUUCUCGAGGUGCCCUGGCCCCGGUGCUAGGCACGUGGGGGACAGAGGUGGCCGGAACAUGAGCUGUGAGGCUUGUUGAUGACGGGUGCUGACACCAUCAUCGGGGGUGGGCACACGGCCCUUCGGAGCCUGGGCAGCCUGGCCUCACAGGCAGACACGCAGACAGGGCAGUGAGCGUCUGGGACAGUGCCAAGAGUGGGGUGUGUGAUUUUUGCAGGCGUCUGUGAUGGGUCUCUUUAGGCACAAAUGUCAACAAGGGACAAGACAGGGCACCUUCCGCCAGCGCCCCUCCAUGCGCUGCGUUCCUCUUCCAGAUCGCCCCCUAGAUGCCUACACAAUAUCUUUAAAGUAACACAGAAGUUUUUAUUUUAUUAAAAAGUAUAGCCUACUUAAACGCGAGAUGACAUAUAUAGAGUUUAAUUUUACGGUCCCUCCGCAGGGGAGCGGCCUCCAGCCUUAUUCUCCACCGCUCGGAUCGGUGUGGUUUCAGUCUGUUGUUGGUGUGGUCCUCAUACACAGAGCUCCUUGUCUAGUUUCUUUUCUUUUUCUUUUUUCUUUUUCUCGUCACACAGGUAACCUUAAAGACAGACCCCUCUAAAGAACGCUUUGUAAAUACAUGGGAGGUGUAGCCACCACUGUUUUCCUUGCUGUUAUUUUUCCAAGUCUUGGGGAGAAAACAUCCUCCUCUGAUGGCCAAAGCCCUGGAAUCAAGGGUUUCCACGUACCCCGCCUAAUACCCGACGUAGCUCUUGAUGCACCGUCCUUGUGCUGUGGCUGGCGGUGUCUCAGCCUGAAACAUAAACCCCACACGCCCCAGGAGCGAUGUGCUCCCUGAAACAGACAACCACACGCUAUUGGGGAGAGAAGGAUGGAGAUAGGAUGGAGAUGUGGCUCUUCUCAUCUUUGAAGCCAGCAGGGCAUCCGGGAGCAGGAGGCUGGCCGGGCUCCCCAAGCGAAGGCGUUGGUGUCUGUCAUUAGGUGUGUGUUAGGGUUCAGCGCCGGCCGUCACAGGAUGCUGAUAAGCGCGCUGAGAGGUGGAUGAAACACCAGAGUCUGUUUCCCCAUCCGCAGUGGGUGUUGCCUCUUUGUGUGUCCCGAUGUUCCCGCCUGUGAGUCGGCCUUACUCCGUUUCCUUAGCGCCCAUGACACGCCAAGUCCCGUUUCGCACUCGGCUUCUCACCCGCCUGGUUCGGCUAGGGAGGGGGAGUUUUUAGCACCUAAUAUGCUUCCUGCCAUUGCGCAAUCUGAGCCUGAGCAACUGGAAACCCCCAUUUCUCAUUAGUGCAAUGUCAUAUCUGAUCCCAGGAAGCCUGGAAAAUAAAAGACGAUGCAUUAUAACUUGCGGAAGUACAAGAUCACUUGUUAUGAACUUGUGUGAUUUUAAAGGCAAGGCCCCUUCUGCAAGCAGUGCUUGCGGAGGGCACCCGUUCCAGGCUCAAUGCAGGGUCUGCGCAUGGGGCAGGUGAGGCCUUGGGGAGGGGCCAAGUGUCUGCAUUAGGGCCCUGUAGGACAUUCCGCAGAGACAGCUUGCACAGACACAUUCCUGGGCCCUCACCAGGGCCAGGCCCUCUGCUGAUGGCAGUGAUGAGGGAAACCUGAUAGGCACCUGCCCCGGAGGCUGGGGAGACAAGGGCAGCCAGGCUGAUCGCUGCUCUGUGGAGCUGGCCCCAGGGAGGUCCCAAAUACACCCCUAGGUCAGGGGAGGCUUUCUGGGCAAGAUGCUGCCCAAACUAAGUCUUGAUAAAUGGGAGGUAAGGGAAUAAAUACCUCCCCAGUAAGGGAAGGGCAUCCCGGGCAGCUGGAACAGCAGUAGUGGAGGCGCUGAGGCUGGAAACAGCCUCCCAGGUUCUGGAAAAUUCGGUGGCUGGUUAUGGCUGAGCACAGGGCCAAGGAAAAGGGUGGAAGGAAAGUGACUGCAGGCAGGGCUCCCACGGGAGAUUAAACAGUGCCCUGCUGGGAUUAAACAUCUCAUCAUCUCUAAUCUUAUUCCAAUGACAUUCAUAAUUCUUUUGAACUUUGGGUCUUCCCCCAAAAAGCUUGUCCAUACACACAACCUGCCAUCACCGUCUACCUAGUUACACACUCAGAAAUCAGCAUUCUCCUUGGUUUCUCCCCACGGCCCCAAGGACAGCUGUCAGCAAGCCCUGGUAAGUGCCGCCUCCCAUGCAUAGACCUACAGCUCUCCACCUGCACAGACACCACCGUGGAAUUAUCCAGUGGGACAUGCUGAGAACAGGAGGUGGCACUCUGACCCAUGACCCUGGACACAGGUAUAAGCCUGGUCUGGCCCUGGCAGCCAGAACGUGCAGGCACCCUGGCCACACUCAGGCCCCUCCCCUACUAUAGCACAGCCUUCCUCUGCCAUCUGCUCCCACACUUGCCCCUGGGCAAAUCUUGUCCACCCAACGCCAGAGUGAUGCUUUGAAAACAUCGGUCAGAUCACACCAAGCUCCCAGCGGCCUUCUUCCGUGGCCUCAAGAGCCAGGACUUAUGUGACCCCCACUUGCCAUUCCCGUCCCCCCCAGCCCCUGUGUUUGUCCCCGUGGUCACAGCCCCAAACUGUGGCUCUCUCUGAGUUCUGCAGACACCAAGCCUUCCGGCUUUCACCCAUGAUCUCCCUCCUGGGGGAGCUCUGCUGCUUCUCCACACAGGCCCCUCCCUUCCUUCUCAGUUCGACUCAGAAGCUCCCCUGUCACACAGGGCCCUCUGCUGACUUUCCAAAUUGCCACCCAUCCCCACGCUCCUCACGGUACCUCCUCAUGCCCUCUGUGUAUCAGCAGUUUCUUCUAUUUUAUUUUAUUUAUGUAUUUAUUUGAGAGAGUCUCGCUCUGUCACCCAGCCUUGAGUGCAAUGACACGAUCUCCACUCACUGCAACCUCCACCUCCCAGGUUCAAACGAUUCUCCUGCCUCAGCCUUCCGAGUAGCUGGGAUUACAGGCAUGCACCACCACACCUGGCUAAUUUUUUGUAUUUUCGGAGAUAUGGGUUUCACCAUGUUGGCCAGGAAUGGUCUGGAACUCCUGACCUCAGGUGAUCCUCCUUCCUCAGCCUCCCAAAGUGCUGGGAUUACAGAUGUGAGCCACCGCGCCCGGCCCACAGUUUCUUCUUUCUCGCUUUAUUGACCGUUUCCCUCCAUCAAACCCUAAGCCCGAGAGGACUGACGAUUUUGUAACCACUGUCUAUGAACUGGGAAUAUCUUUGGAGUAUUUCGUAGCAAGGCUGGAGUCCAUCUGGUUUCUGUGCUUUCCCCAAAGAGUCUUAUGGCGUUCGUGCUUCUAGAAUGGCACCGUCCUAUCACACUGCCUGCGAUGACGAGGACAUUCUACAUCCACACUGUCCAACACGGCAGCCACCAGCGCUUGAAAUGCAGCCAACGCGAGUGGAACGGAGAUUUCAAUGUAACUCAUUUAGAGUUAAGGAGCCACGUGUGGCUACUGGCUGCAUACUAGACAGUGCAGCACCCUGAGGAUUAGAAACUGCUGCUGCCCUAAGCUGAGACAUGCAUGUCCACAGGCCUUGGGAUCUGUCACUCUUGUCUCGCAACAAGUGUUCAUUGGUGCCUGGUCUAUAGGAUCAAUUGAGAAUGCACUUGCUGAGCAUGCAUCUGUGCCUGGCACUGUCCUGGGUGCAGAGGUGUGCUUGGCACAGUUCUUGCCCUCCAGGCUCAUGACGUCUGCCAUCUGAAUCUCAGAGCCCCAGGUUCUAAGCCGGUUUGGCUCAGUCUUCCAUGCCAGUCUUCAUGUCUGACGGUGGCACCAACCUUCCCGGAUCAGCACCAACCUGGGCCUGUGUGAGGAACUCCCGGGAGAGAUGGGCAGGGAGACAUCGGUGCCUGCAGGGCCUCCAUCCUCAGCCCUUCUUCCCAGGGCAGCUGUGCAUUCCAAGCUACUUAAAUCUGAACCAAAAGCUUCAGAAUUCACUGCAGCCAGGCAAGAGAACGUGACAAAUCUCACACGGGUCUUAGUGUUUGGUUCAAAAGUGACACAUCUCACCUCUAGUGGUUGGAACUAGUCACAUGACCCUGCCCAGCUGCAAAAGGGUCUAGGGAGCACAGGCAUUCGUCUGUCUAAGAAGAGGGAGGAUGAAAACCAGGAGCAAGCCUUACCAACUACAGCCGAGGCUACACGGGUAUCUUCUCUUCCCCAAGUCCAAGCCCCAGUGCCUUCGGUGGCUCUUGGUGUGAACUCACUUGGAGCCCUCCCCUGCCCUGGCCACCGUCCUCUGUGGGUGAGCCAUUCACUUAUUCAUCCACGCAGAUCUGCACGCUGGCUCCAGCCUGGCCCCCAUACCCCCCGAGUCUCUGCCGUGUGCAGUGCCCCCUCCUGGAGGGCUUUCACCCACACAGCACCAUGUUCUCCUCUGUGACCUGCUGUCCCCAGCACAGGUGAUCAGAUCAAGGAUGGCCCCUGAGCCAUCGGCAGAGUGGAUCCCUAGUGGCCCAGGGCAACGGCUGUGCCCCAUGGAGAGACUUUGCUCUAUGUGGACAUUGAUCUACCCAAUCCGAAGCCCUCCCAGGGAGGUCAUGAAACACUCAGGGAGUUGAUGGGGGGUGGGCAAGGCAGGGAACACUCAGCCAGAAGCCUGCGCCAGCAGAGGCCAUGGGUAAAGAGAAGCGGAAGGAGAGAUGCUCACCAGGAGAGGAGGAAGAGGGGAGCCCAGAGGGCGUCAGGGCUGGCAGAGUCUGGUGGACUUUGCUGACCACUUGGGCUGCACUUAAGCGCAUCCUGCCUCCCCUCUGGGUUCUUUUUUUUUUUUUUUUUUUUUGAGAUGGAAUCUUGCUCUGUCGCCCAGGCUGGAGUGCAGUGGCGUGAUCUCAGCUCACUGCAAGCUCCACCUCCCAGGUUCAUGCCAUCCUUCUGCCUCAGCCUCCCAAGUAGCUGGGACUACAGGCACCUGCCACCACGCCCGGCUAAUUUUUUGUAUUUUUAGUAGAGACGGGGUUUCACCGUGUUAGCCAGGAUGGUCUCGAUCUCCUGACCUCAUGAUCCGCCCACCUCGGCCUCUCAAAGUGCUGGGAUUACAGGCGUAAGCCACCGUGCCCGGCCUUUUUUUUUUUUUCUUUCUUUCUGAGACAGAGUUUCGCUGUUGUCACACAGGCUGCAGUGCAAUGGUGAGAUCUUGGCUCACUGCAACCUCUUCCUCCCUGGUUCAAGUGAUUCUCUUGCCUGAGCCUCCCAAGUAGCUGGAACUACAGUCUUGAGACACCAUGCCCAGCUAAUUUUUUGUAUUUUUCAUAGAGAUGGGGUUUCACCAUGUUGGCCAGGCUGGCCUCAAACUCCUGACCUCAGGCGAUUCACCCACCUCAGCCUCCCAAAGUGCUGGGAUUACAGGUGUGAGCCACCGCACCUGGCCCCCUCUGGGUUCUGAGUUGAGAACCAGCAUGAGGAGAGGGAUCGUGGCCCAGGGAAAGGAUCAGUUUCCCUAAUGCACCAGUCCCCAAAUCCUGAAAUGCAGAGCUUCUGGAAUGACUGAGUUGGAAGAUAUUGCUCAGUGUAUUUUAUUUUAUUUUUUGGUUAUUAAUUUAUUUAUUUUGAGACAGAGUCUCACUCUGUUGCCUGGUCUGGAGUGCAGUGGCACGACCUCGGCUCACUGCAAACCUCCUCCUCCCAGGUUCAAGCAAUUCUUGUGCCUUAGCCUCCUGAGUAGCUGGGAUUACAGGCAUGCACCACUACACCCAGGCAUUUUUUUCUAUUUUUAGAAAAGACAGGGUUUCACAGUGUUGGCCAGGCUGGUCUUGAACCCCUUGCUUCAAGUGAUCCUCCUGCCUCGGCCUCCCAAAGUGCUAGGAUUACAAGCGUGAGCCACCACACCCAGCCCCUGCUCAGUGUAUUUUAGAUCAGAAAAGUCUUCCACUGUGGCCCACCCCCAUCCUCAUCCCAAACCUGGACCUAGGUCCUUCCAGGGUCAUAGCUGGCCAUGCAGGAUGAAGAAGAGGUAGCUGCAUGGGACAAAGUCUGCUUGUGAGCCCAGAGGCAUGGGUCCCCAGGCCCACCUCCAGCCCAGACCUGGGGCCUGGCCCGGGAGCCCCCAUGGGAGGUGAAGAAGAGAAUCAUCACAGCAGGCAUUUCUUCCUCUCUGACCACGUGGGGCCUGUUUCCUGAAAAGGCCAUAUAUGCAAAUUGGCCCCCAAAUGCAGAGGGAGCCAAGAAACCAAAGAAAGAGGCAGACAAAUCCAGUUUCUCAGUAAAGGGUGACUUAUGAGGGGGAACUUAACAAACAGAAGUGUGGUCUCGGGCAGCCACAAGGCAGUAGAUCUCUGCAGCACAACCACACAGACCCGCAGAUUGGGGGAAAAGUAUACGUGCUCUGGAAGGAAUGUGUAGGUGGCUGCAGGCGUCACAGCCUAUCGUGUAUGCAACACCAAGGGUUGUUUUGGAGGAAAGGCUGGUGAAGAGGUGUUUCUACAUAAAGAGCAAUACAUCAACUCGACAUCUUGGAGGCAUUCCCGGACUUGGGUUAGUCAGGAGUCACAUGCUGGAUUAGGAUUUAAAAUAAAGUCGCUCUUAUCCCCACAGGGUCCUCAGAGAAUCCUAGGAGGCCAAUCCUUCCUGAGUCCCCACUUUAUGAAUGAGGAAACUGAGGCACAGAGAGAGGCAAUGUAACUUGCUCAGGAUUACCCAGCUGUCAACGACUGGGUGAGAGAUCCAGUCACUCAUGCCACUGCACACCCCACACUCUGGCUUGCGAUAAGAUGCAUCAUCUUGCCUGGGAGUGUUUCUGAGCAAGCCUGCCCAGAGGCCAGGAGCAGAGCUUGGUGUGCAGGUCACCUUACAGUGGGCCGCCGGCAGCCGGGUAUCUUACCAAUCAGAGAAGCCCCUCAUGUGCCUGGGAGGAGCAGGUGGCAGGUUGGACGGGGGACCAGGGGUGGUCCUGCAAGGCUACCUCCUUCCAAAUACCCACCUUCCUCAAUAGGUCACCAGGGCUGACACUGGACCCCUGGGCUCCAACUGUGUGGACAGGUGGGUCCAACUGUGUGGACAGGACUGUGUGGACAGCACUCCACUGUGCUAGUGAGGGUAACAGCUGGCUGUGUCCUAGAUGGUGGAGCCUGGUGUUCCCUGUCGGGGAGGCUGCUUCCUGUCACCCUUGGUUCUCGAGGCUCCCCAGAUGGUCUCCGUCCCCCUGGGAACACUGCGUGUGCUCCAUUGCUUCUGGCCAUGCCUUUAGCAGGUACACUUCCUUCUGGCCCCAAACCCCAGCUGGGUCCCUUCCCUUGUCCCUCCCAAAGCAGCCAUCCCUAAGCUGCCUUCAUUUUGUGCCUGUGGAGGGCCUUCCCCUACCCUGUUUUUUUUUGGCCUCUCCUUGCUGUGAUCCACCUCACUCCCCUUUCUGGGUUCCCAGGCUGCCCCACUGCCUGGAGAUGAGACCCAUUUUAUUUAUUUAUUUAUUUAUUUAUUUAUUUAUUUAUUUAUUUGAGAGGGAGUCUCACUCUGUCACCAGGCUGGAGUACAGUGGCACAACCUCGGCUCACCGCAAUCUCCGACUCCCUGGUUUAGGCAAUUCUACUGCCUCAGCCUCCUGAGUAGCUGGGAUUACAGGCAUCCGCCACCACGCCCAGCUAAUUUUUGUAUUUUUAGUAGAGACAGGGUUUCACCAUGUUGGCCAGGAUGGUCUCAAUCUCCUGACCUCGUGAUCCGCCCACCCUCGGCCUCCCAAAGUGCUGGGAUUACAGGUGUGAGCCACCGCGCCCAGCCGGAGACCCAUUUAUUACUUAAGCUAAUGCAACUUACACAAGUUAAAGGUGCAUCAUUCCAGAAUCUGGUCCCCACUGCCCUCCUCCCAACUCCACCUUCCAGAGGGGAUGAAGGCUGGUGUUGGGGGAGUAGCCCACCCAUUCAAGCAGACUGGCUGGGGUUAGGGCGGGUGCUCUGUGGAGAAGCCUGGGAUUCAGCAGUUUCUGUACCACAGAGCCGAGAGGGGCAAGUCCCUAAGCAUAAAAGCCCUUCCGAGCAAUUAAACGGGAGAGGAAAUCAGUGCUUCCCUGGGGUACCAGCAGAGGCUGCCGGGCCUAUUGCUGAACUAGGUUUCAUAAAGAGAAGAGCUUUCCUUUUCUCAUGUCUGAAUUGUGAGGCUCAUUCCUCAGCCAGACAUCGCUUCUGAGAGCUCCAUUAGCAAGCCCUGCCUGCUACCAGCUUCCCCUUCCUCUAACACCCUGAGUCUCUCUCAAUUGUAACAUUUGUAUACCAUGCCACUCCUUUGCAGGGGCCACGGGGACCCUUCACCCACAGAAGGCUCACUGAAAGUCGACAGACAAAGGCAGACUGAUAGGGGAAAAGGCAUACAUGUUUAUUCAUAUGAAUGGGGCGGCUGGGAGGAGCAACAGAGUGAGGGGUGCAGAAGCUUUUCUACCCUUUUUCAUAGGGGAGGGUGGAGAUAAAGGAUGUAGGGAUUUUUUUUUUUUUUUUUUUUUUUUUUUUUGUGAGACGGAAUCUCACUCUGUUGCCCAGGCUGAAGUGCAGUGGCACAAUCUCGGCUCACUGCAACCUCCACUUCCUGGGUUCAAGCGAUUCUCCUGCCUCAGCCUCCCAAGUAGAUGGGAUUACAGGCACAUGCCACCACGCCGGGCUAAUUUUUGUAUUUUUAGUAGAGACCGGGUUUCACCAUGUUGUUCAGGCUGGUCUCGAACUCCUGACCUCAGGUGAUCCCCUCCCACCCCCCAACCUCGGCCUCACAAAGUGCUGGGAUUACAGGCGUGACUCACCGUGCCUGGCCUGUAGGGGAUUUUUAGAGGAGCAGUACUUGAAUAUGAGGGAGAAUAAAAUCAACUUGUAAAUGAUUCUCCUAUUUGUAUAGUGCUGAGUAUCCCCACCUGUUAAAACAAUUAAAAUAAAAGACACUAACUUGUAAAGGGUUCUCUUUGGAGUUUGAAUGGGCCCGAGAGGCAAACAUUAUCUUGUGGAGCAAAAUAUAAGCUCUCAAAGAAAGGAAAAAUAGUUGAUGUUUUUAUACCAUCUUGAAAUUACAGAAAAAAUAAGGGCUUGGAUCUCAGCAAAAGAGGUUAUGGAAGGGAAGAGGAGGAAACCUUGCAGGUAGCAGUCCUCAGGAUAGAUGGGAAAUGUUUCUUUCAGGCUUUAAAGGCGUCCGACUUAGUUAACCUUUCCUAGAUCCGGACCAAGGAAGGCCUCAGAGAAAGCUGGACUGCAUCAAUGCAGGUUUCCCUACAGAAGCAAAUCUCCCCAACAAAAGAUAGUUUUCUGGCUGGGCGUGGUGGCUCACACCUGUAAUCCCAGCACUUUGGGAGGCCGAGGCAGGCUGGAUCACGAGGUCAGGAGUUCAAGACUACCCUGGCCAACAUGGUGAAACCCUGUCUCUACUAAAAAUACAAAAAUUAGCUGGGUGUGGUGGCGGUCGCGUGUAAUCCCAGCUACUUGGGAGGCUGAGGCAGGAGAAUUGCUUGAACCCGGGAGGCUGAAGUUGCAGUGAGCCGAGAUCAUGCCAUUGCACUCCAGCUCUGGGCAACAGAGCAACGCUCUGUCUGAAAAAAAAAGUUUUCUGGCUAUUCUUACAGCUCCAUCCCUUCCAGAUAGCAAUCUCGAAAUGUGUCAAAGAUGUAUAUUUUGGGGUGAAAUAUCUCGGUUUCUUUCACCCUCCAGUCUAUCGUCUGCUCAGCAGCCCACAGCAAUAUGUAUUGCAGACUUGAUUGGCACUACUGGGGGCACUUCACGAAUUUCUUCCCUGCUGAGGCCCCAGCUCCUUCACUGGCCAUCAUCUGGCCACUGCCUCCCUCUCCAGCCUCUUCCUGGCCCUUCCCUCUUGCACCCUUCCUUGCUGAGCAGCACCGUCUCGCCUGCUUUUCAAACACCGUGUCCUUUGCAAAGGCUCUUCCCUCUGCCUGGAAUGCCCCCUCUGGCAAAUUCCUAUUCAUCCUUCAGUACCCAGCUGAGACACAACUCCCCCUCCCACAACUGUUAUACCCAAAUAAUCCGGUUGCAAAACUAAAUAAUUCAAAUUUAAGAUAAUUUGAAUUUACUGCUGUUGGAACUUAAAUUUUCCUAAGCCUCGAAGAAAUGUGACUAUGCAGCCUGCGUCACACUCAUGCAGCUGCAACUUUUACCCUUUUUUUUCUGUAAAUAAUUAUGACCAAAUGGCGCCAGAGAUAAGACCUCCCUCAGAUCACUACCCCUCCUUACAGAGUAAUAAAGUAAUCUUGCUGGGAAUGUAGCAACUUGUAACCAACUAAAUCACUGUGGCAUAUGCACCUGGUCUUGCAUGGAAAAUGCUGUAACCCUACUGGAACUUCUCCGUCUCUGGAAGUGACAGAUUUCACUCUGGAAGUGAAAUCUUAACUCCUCCACUUUGGGAACAUUGACUCCAUUCAUCUAGAGUCGGUGCCUUCCUGGGUGGCCAUACCCAAGCUUUGUGCUCAAAUAAACUCUGCACUUGAUCAUA
Gorilla gorilla gorilla (western lowland gorilla) is the source of this 13169-nucleotide RNA transcript. It is a transcript of the gene named actin binding LIM protein family member 2, with no coding region annotated. The record is from RefSeq and is a predicted model, not a curated record. The transcript is spliced from 22 exons. Lineage: Eukaryota; Metazoa; Chordata; Mammalia; Primates; Hominidae.